Molecule: ribosomal RNA, 623 nt
Filed under: uncultured fungus
Lineage: Eukaryota; Fungi
Description: eukaryotic LSU rRNA
Rfam family: Eukaryotic large subunit ribosomal RNA
Source: RNAcentral
CCCGCUGAACUUAAGCAUAUCAAUAAGCGGAGGAAAAGAAACCAACCGGGAUUGCCUCAGUAACGGCGAGUGAAGCGGCAAGAGCUCAAAUUUGAAAUCUGGCCUUCUGGUCCGAAUUGUAAUUUGUAGAGGAUGCUUCGAAUAUAGCCUGGGUCUAAGUUCCUUGGAACAGGAUGUCAUAGAGGGUGAGAAUCCCGUAUGCGACUCGGUGUCUAUGUUCAUGUGAAGCUCCUUCAACGAGUCGAGUUGUUUGGGAAUGCAGCUCAAAAUGGGUGGUAAAUUUCAUCUAAAGCUAAAUAUUGGCCAGAGACCGAUAGCGCACAAGUAGAGUGAUCGAAAGAUGAAAAGCACUUUGGAAAGAGAGUUAAACAGUACGUGAAAUUGUUGAAAGGGAAGCGCUUGCAAUCAGACUUGCCUGCGGUUGAUCAUCCGAUGUUCUCACCGGUGCACUCAAUUGCAUACAGGCCAGCAUCGGUUUUGGUGGUUGGAUAAAGUUCUUGGGAAUGUGGCUCCCUUCGGGGAGUGUUAUAGCCCAAGGUGCAAUGCAACCUUCUAGGACCGAGGACCACGCUUCGGCUAGGAUGCUGGCGUAAUGGUUGUAAGCGACCCGUCUUGAAACACGG